UUUCGCUUGAUUGAGCUGCAUAAUUUAGAAAAUGUUAAGAAAAAUUCUAAAAUUUAUGUACAAAGUAAUUACCAAAAAAAUACUCACCAGAUCUUACUCUGAAGCACCAUUAGGAUGUAAGUUUUCAACUUAUCGAUAACAACCAUUCAAUUUUCUUAUAGCCUUCUCAAUAACUUGCAUUCGACAUUGCAAAGGCCGUGGCUUGUGGGACUCCCAAAACUCAUUCUUUGCAACUUCAUAUGCUUCUGCCACCUGACUCCAAAAACAUUGACUAGAUUGUUGUUUACCUAUAACGGGAUCUUGUGAAACAUUUAGAUAAAUUCUACAUAAUAGCACACCUUCAUUGGUAGAAUAUCCUGCAGAUCUUAAAGUCAUAGUUUACAAAGUGAUUAAAUAUUGAAGGGUAUGGCUAACUUAUGGUAACUUGUAGAUGUUGACAUUCAAAUAUAUAUAAGUCAGAUGGAAUUUUAAACAAUAAUUAAACCAAUAGUAUCCUAAUAGAUUUUAUAUUAAAAUCGACCGUUUGAUGAAUUUCAUUUCGAUCUCCACCUUCGAAUAGUAUGCAUCCCUAUCCCCACAUUUUUUAAUGAAGUCAGAUGGAAUCUUAAACAAUAAUUAAACCAACAGCAUCCUGAUAGAUUUCAUCUUAAAAUCGACCGUUCGAUGGAUUUCAUUUCGAUCUCCAUCCUCGGAUAGUAUGCAUCCGUAUCCCUACAUUUUUCAAUAAAGUCAGAUGGAAUAUUAAAUAAUAAUUAAAUCAACAGUAUUCUGAUAGAUUUCAUCUUAAAAUCGACCGUUGGAUGGAUUUCAUCUUAAUCUCCACCUUCGUAUAAUAUACAUUUCUAUCCCCACAGUUUUCAAUAAAGUCAAAUGAAAUCUUAAAUAAUAAUUAAACCAACAAUAUUAUGAUAGAUUUCAUCUUAAAAUCGAUCGUUGGAUGGAUUUCAUCUUACUCUCCACCUUUAGAUAGUAUGUAUCUCUAUCCCAAUAGUUUUCAAUAAAGUCAGAUGAAAUCUUAAACAAUAAUUAAACUAACAGUAUCCUGAUAGAUCUCAUCUUAAAAUCGACCGUUGGAUAGAUUUUAUCUUGAUCUCCACUUUCGGAUAGUAUACAUUCCUAUCCCUACAUUUUCAGAUGAUUAUAUUUCAGAUGAAAAUUCAUUAUCAUCUUCUUCAGAUAUUUAUGAUUAUAUUUCAGAUGAUAAUGAGUUUGCAAUGGAAGUACAAGCAGUUAAUCAAUAAUUUUUUAGAAAUAAGAUGGUUUUGCAGCAAAUACAAGAUCAACACGGAGUUUCUAGAGGUGGCUCUGUUCCAGGUCAUCUAGUAAUCAAUCGAGAUCGUGAAGCAGCUGAUCGUAAUUUAUUUCUGAAUUAUUUUUUAGAUAAUCCACUAUUCAAUGAUGUAAUGCUUCAUCGACGAUAUAGAAUGUCUCGAAAUUUGUUCCUUCGUAAUAUCGAUGCAAUAAAAGCGCAUGAUACGUACUUCGAAUAACAAAGAGAUGCAGUAGGUAAAAUUGGAUUAUCUACUCUUCAAAAAAUCACAGUUGUAUUUUGAAUGUUAACGAAUGGUUUGCCGGAAGAUACUAUCGACGAAUAUGUGAAAAUUAGGGAGUCAACUGCAGUUGAAAGUCUAAAGAGAUUUUGUCGAGCUACUAAUGAGGUAUUUGGUGAGCAGUAUUUGAGAUCACCAACUGCCGAUGAUGUUGCAGUGCUUCUUUACAUUGGUGAGCAACAUAGCUUUCCUAGAAUGUUAGGUAGUCUCGAUUGCAUGCAUUGGGAAUGGAAAAUUUGUCUUAUUGCAUGGGCUGGCCAAUAUACAGGUCGUAGUGGAUCGCCAACAAUCAAUCAUUUUAGAAGUUGUAGUUGAUUAUGACAUUUGGAUAUGACAUGCAUAUUUUGGAAUGUCUGACUCCAAUAACGAUAUUAAUAUUUUGGAGUCAUUGCAUUUAUUUUUCGACCUAGCUAAAUGUAUUGCUCCUCCCGCUCAUUAUAUUAUUCAAGGAAAAGAAUAUAACACAGAUUAUUAUUUAGCUGAUGGUAUAUAUCCGAAAUGGUCAACUAUUGUGCAAAUUAUUCGUGAACCACAAAUAAGGAAGAAGAGGUAUUUUGCAAUGAAACAAGAAUCUUGUUGAAAAGAUAUUGAACGUGUUUUCGGAGUGUUGCAGUCACGUUUUGCAAUAGUUGCAGGAACAUCACAUUUUUGGAAAAAAGAAGUAUUGCAUGAUAUAUUAACUACAUGUAUUAUCAUGCAUAAUAUAAUAAUCGAGGAUGAACGUGACCUUAGUGUAUUUAUUGAAGACGGUAGAGAAUUUUCAACUCUAACUGUUGAAAUGGUUGUCGAUGAAGCUACCCGAUUUAAACAAUUUUUUGCUCGAUACAAAAAAAUUAAGGAAAAAGAUGCUAAUUUUGCACUUCGUAAUACAUUAAUAGAGUAUUUGUGGGAGUAAUAUACGAAUUAAAAUGAUCAUCUAUAUUAGCUUGUAUUUUUUUUAUUGAUAAUUUAAUAUGUAUGAAUCUAUUUUAUUUUUAAUUUGUUAAUUAAUGUUUAAUUAAUGUAUGUUUAUAAUUAAUGUUUAAUUAAUGAAUUUUUAUAAUUAAUAUUUAAUUAAUGUAUUUUAUAAUUAAUAUAUUUUUAUUUAUCUAUAAUAUAAUUGAAUAUUUAAAUAUUGGAUGAAAAUGUAAAAUGUAUAAAUAUUUGGGAUGGAUAUAUAAAAUUAUAUGAGAUUUUUAGUGAAAUUAAUAAAUAAAGUUAAAGUAAAAUAAUAUAAUAUUAAAAAAAGAAAAAAAAUAUAAACAAGUUAAAAAUAGUAUAGAAAAUUAGAGAUAAUAUUAGGCUAUUUUAAUAUUUUAUAUUAAAAUAAUGUAAAAAAUACUGCGAAGCAUGGGAGAUGGCCUUGCGGCCUUAAUAUAUAACAUAGCUUAGACUACUAUAGGCAGGAGUAAAUCUCUGAGCAAAGUCUUUUGACAGUUGCUAGAGAUUGAGGGAAGAAGAACAACAAUGCUAUCUGGCUUGUGGGACCGGGUCUUCUUUCGAGUCUAAGGAGUUUGGAUUUUUAGAACUUUUUCUUCAUUUGGGUUUUAUGUUCUUUAGGCUCUAACUCUUUAUUCUAUAAUUUUUCAUGGGCUAUGUGCUUUUUAUCUAAGCUGUAAUGUUAACUUUUUUUUAAUGGAACUUUUUUAUCUUUAGAAAAAAAAAAAAAAGAAAAGAAAAAGUACAUAUACUUAAUUAAUCUAAAAAUUUUAAUUGAUCUUGUUUGACCCUUACAAAGAUUUAUCUAGAAAAUAUAAGACCGUGUUAGUGGUAAUUACUAAGAUCAUCAGACCCAGAAUUUAAUGAAGCAAACUCCUUCAAUGGUAUGACAUUAAUUUCAAAAAGGAUGAGACAGAUAGAGAAGAGUGGUACCAGUAGGGUUAUAGAGCCAGAUCGAUCAACGAAAACGGUGGUGGUAGUUUGGGCUUUCUGGUUCUCCAAGUGUUUGGCAAAAGCAGCGUUAGAGGAUUCUGAAUGUGAAGACGAUGAAUAAGAAGAGUUGCUCCUAUGCAAAGGAAAUGAAAGGGAAGUUGCCGCUCUGCUGGACAGAAAAUGACGGCAAGUGGAAGCUUGUUUCAGUAACACUCCUCAGCAUUUUCCUUUGGGGGUUGUCGCCG
RNAcentral lists this long non-coding RNA (3646 nucleotides) under Manihot esculenta (cassava). RNAcentral describes it as "long non-coding RNA (MESC_LNC010177)". Lineage: Eukaryota; Viridiplantae; Streptophyta; Magnoliopsida; Malpighiales; Euphorbiaceae. The record is from RNAcentral.